This 236-nucleotide ribosomal RNA is filed under the name uncultured bacterium. Its description in RNAcentral is "partial 16S ribosomal RNA". It matches the Rfam family "Bacterial small subunit ribosomal RNA", at positions 335 to 588 of the family's 1533-position model. The record is from RNAcentral.
UUCCCUACUGGGCGCAGCAGUGGGGAAUAUUGCACAAUGGGGGAAACCCUGAUGCAGCGACGCCGCGUGGGUGAAGAAGUACUUCGGUACGUAAAGCCCUAUCAGCAGGGAAGAAAAUGACGGUACCUGAAGAAGAAGCCCCGGCUAACUACGUGCCAGCAGCCGCGGUAAUACGUAGGGGGCAAGCGUUAUCCGGAUUUACUGGGUGUAAAGGGGGCGCAGACGGCGAUGCAAGC